RNAcentral lists this long non-coding RNA (452 nucleotides) under Homo sapiens (human). Its description in RNAcentral is "HSALNT0247997". Lineage: Eukaryota; Metazoa; Chordata; Mammalia; Primates; Hominidae. The record is from RNAcentral.
GCCAGUGAACAACAAGGCCUCUGCCAUGCUGUGGGUCUGGAUGAACAUCUGGACAUGGUCUCACAUGCAGCCUAAAAGCUGAAAUGUAAUACUCAAAUUUGCAAUGCUGAAGUAAUGGGGAAUAUUUAAAUAAACUUCCAAAUGAUGAGUUCUCUAAGUCUGCAGCAUUUAUAUUUCUGAUUUGGGACACACUAGAUAGCUCAGUACCAAGCUAUGUAUCCAACCCAAAAGGUCAGAAGAAGAAUACAGAAUAACACAAAGAAGUAAAAAAAAAAAUAAAGAUAAAAACCUUUAUAAACUAGAAAGCAAAUAAUAGGGAAAAAUACUACUCUGAAAAUCCUAAUAAAAUAGAUUGAAUAAUAGGCAAAUGUGUUCAAUAAAAAUAUGUGGGAAUAUAACCACAGAUACUUAUGUCUUAAUAUAACACUUUAAUAUUUUAGGCCGGGCACGGU